GCACCCCCUUUUCAUGCGGGGCU
RNAcentral lists this ribosomal RNA (23 nucleotides) under Opuntia cochenillifera. RNAcentral's name for it is "Nopalea cochenillifera partial 26S ribosomal RNA". The record is from RNAcentral. Lineage: Eukaryota; Viridiplantae; Streptophyta; Magnoliopsida; Caryophyllales; Cactaceae.